Molecule: ribosomal RNA, 655 nt
Filed under: Serratia marcescens
Lineage: Bacteria; Pseudomonadati; Pseudomonadota; Gammaproteobacteria; Enterobacterales; Yersiniaceae
Description: bacterial LSU rRNA
Rfam family: Bacterial large subunit ribosomal RNA
Source: RNAcentral
CAAGCGGUCGGAGCAGCUAUAAGCUGUGACGGCGUGCCUUUUGCAUAAUGAGCUUACGAGUUAAUCGUACUAGCGAGGUUAAGGACUUAAGGUCCGGAGCCGUAGCGAAAGCGAGUCUGAAUAGGGCGGAUAGUUAGUGGGAUUAGACGCGAAACCUUGUGAUCUACCCAUGGGCAGGUUGAAGCUUUGGUAACACAAAGUGGAGGACCGAACCGGUUGACGUUGAAAAGUCUUCGGAUGACCUGUGGGUAGGGGUGAAAGGCCAAUCAAACCGGGAGAUAGCUCGUACUCCCCGAAAUGCAUUUAGGUGCAGCGUCGAUAUAGUUUAUUAGAGGUAGAGCUACUGAUUGGAUGCGGGGGUUUCAUCGCCUACCAAUUCCUGACAAACUCCGAAUGCUAAUAAAUGAUUGUCGGCAGUGAGGGCAUGGGUGCUAAGGUCCAUGUCCGAGAGGGAAAGAACCCAGACCAACAGCUAAGGUCCCUAAAUAUAUGCUAAGUUGAAAGAACGAGGUUUGUCUGCCCAGACAGCUAGGAUGUUGGCUUGGAAGCAGCCAUUCAUUUAAAGAGUGCGUAACAGCUCACUAGUCGAGCGGACGAGCAUGGAUAAUAAUCGGGCAUAAGCAUAUUACCGAAGCUAUGGCUUUUGUCGCAAUAC